RNAcentral lists this long non-coding RNA (1159 nucleotides) under Sus scrofa (pig). RNAcentral describes it as "lncRNA (ENSSSCG00070005654.1)". Lineage: Eukaryota; Metazoa; Chordata; Mammalia; Artiodactyla; Suidae. The record is from RNAcentral.
AUGCUGGAGAGAGAUGGCGUCUGUUAUCGUGCUCAGUUGUUAAGAGAGAGGAAGAAGGCAAAAAUAACGCUGAUGCUGUGGGUGAGUUGGGAGUCCAUAGCACAUAUGCUGUUUUCUAAAGCUUGGCUCACAUCAUGUAAAAUGCAUCUUGGUUCCUGACCCUGGUUGACUAGCAUGAAGCAGGUAAGUUUCACCAUUCUCUUCACAUAGUUGAGAUCUGAUAGGAUAGCUUCAAAUAACUCACAUUUUCUGUAUAUAUGUACUUUGCAGCAAACUGACUUGGUAUCUUAUGUUUGUGGUAAUGGUGGGUUAUAAACUUAAAGCCUCCCUUUCCUAUGUUUAAUGACAAGAUUUUGUGUUUUAAUCUCCAGGGUAGUUCAACACUGAAUUCUACCAGAUACAUGAAUUUCUCUAAAAAUGUCAGGAAUCCUACCUGGUUAGGUUGCAGGGGUUUCCUCAGAGUCCUCAGGGAGGACUUCCUGUAAGACAUUAUCACUGUCAUUGAUUAGACCCUGGUGGAUUCUCUUUGACCUUGUCAGUACUCUUGUUUCAACCCCUCAAAGUAUGAAGAAAUCAUAGUGCUUCCAUCUUCUCUAGUGGUCUUAGUCUGUUUAGCUGUUGUAACAAAAUACAGGACACUGGGUGGCUUAUAAACAACAAACAUUUACUUCUUACAGUUCUGGAGUUUGGGAAGUCCAGGGUCCUAGCACAGGCAGAUGUGUCUAGUGAGAGUCUGUUGUCUCCCUUUCAUUAUGGGAGUGACAAGGAAUCUAUCUAGGGUCACUGUUAUUAGUGUACUUAUCCCAAUUGUGAGGGUCCUGCUCUCAUGACUUAAUCACCUUCCUAAGUCCCAAUUCCUUACACCAUUUCCUUGGGGUUAGGAUUUCAACAUAUGGAUUUUAAGGGGCCACAAAUGUUCAAACCAUAGCAAUGGUCAUUAGCUUAAUAAUGCUGACCUUUGUAUCAGUUUCAGGAUUUGAGGGUACUGCAUGUCAUUCUAGAAUUUAGUGCUCUGUGAUAGGCACUUAGCUGUAAUUACAUAAGUUUCCUUUAAAAAAUUUCUUUAAAGUGUAGUUGAUUUACAUUUUGCCAAUUUCUGCUGUAUGUCAAAGUGACUCAGUCCUGCAUAUAUAUAUAUAUAUAUAUAUAUAUAUAUAUA